This 167-nucleotide ribosomal RNA is filed under the name Crinipellis sp. Its description in RNAcentral is "partial large subunit ribosomal RNA". It matches the Rfam family "Eukaryotic large subunit ribosomal RNA", at positions 100 to 260 of the family's 3401-position model. The record is from RNAcentral. Lineage: Eukaryota; Fungi; Basidiomycota; Agaricomycetes; Agaricales; Marasmiaceae.
GGGAAAAGCUCAAAUUUAAAAUCUGACAGUCUUUGGCUGUCCGAGUUGUAAUUUAAAGAAGUGUUACCCGUGCUGGACCGUGUAUAAGUCUUCUGGAAUGGAGCAUCAUUGAGGGUGAGAAUCCCGUCUUUGACACGGACUACCAGUGCAUUGUGGUGCGCUCUCAA